Scylla paramamosain (green mud crab) is the source of this 1861-nucleotide long non-coding RNA. RefSeq lists it as uncharacterized. The record is from RefSeq and is a predicted model, not a curated record. Lineage: Eukaryota; Metazoa; Arthropoda; Malacostraca; Decapoda; Portunidae. The transcript has 3 exons.
CGAAGCUCUUCACUCCUUAUGCCGUUAAAAGCCAAGAGGGCUUCCCACAAUCCAUCAGUUUAAUCCGGACACCUGCACAAUGCGAGCAUUCCUCCUCCUGCUGGCCUGGACCAUGCUGCUCUCAGCCACCAACGCCAAAGUGUACUACCCAAAUAGAGUGUGCUACGCCGAUGGGAAAACAGUGAGCCACGGUGAAACCUGGACUACAUCGGACUGCCGUCUGGGCAAAUGCACUAAUGGUUACAUCACUUACCAGGAAUGUGAUGCGCAGCCGCCAAACGAUCCAUUGUGUGGCUUCUCCCAAGAUCUGGCUUUGCCUUACCCGGGCUGCUGCCCUAUUAUAUAUUGCAUCUGACCUGUCAACCACCACGACCUCACUCUGCCUGGACCUAGACCUGACCAGAUGACCAUCUCUAAUUACGCAUAAGACAUUAAUAUAAUAUUUACAAUAUAUGUUUACAUUUCCAGCAGUUACGAUUGGUACGACUAAUACUUCUAAGAGGAUUAUGAACAUUAAUGUUACCAAAAUGACUUGUAAUAAAACUCACUUAGCAGCCUGUACUGCAUAAAAAUACAUAAAUAAAGAUGAUUAAAGAAAUUAAGCAAAAUUUUACCAUGAGAAAUAAUAAACAAUUGAAGACUGAUGAAAUUAUUUCCUGUGAUGCAUUUACAUCAUGUAGUAGCUUAUUCAAUGUAAUCCGUACAGUGUAAUACGUACAGAUUGUGCGUAGAUUGUCUGCCGACUGAUCUUUGACUCCCGACUGUCUUACGACUGUUCUUUUUUAUUCAUUACACGUGGACAAGGAAUGGGAAAGAUCAAAAGGAGUGAAAACAGACACAGGGAUCAUAGUGGACUAUUGUGAUAAUUCUAGAAAGAAAAGAAGGUAGUGUGUGUACAGGUGGGCUGAGGUCAGAUAAUCUGAGUGUGACAUUUCACUGAGAUAAUAGUUGUAUUAGUAUUAGUAUUAGUGGUAGUAGCAGUAGUAGUAGUAGUAGUAGUAGUAGUAGUACGAAUAAUAGCAGUAGUAGUGGUGGUGAUACGUAGUAGUGCAGUAGUAAUAAUAGUAAUACGUACGUAUGAUAUGAUAGUUUAAAAAUCUAGCUAAGAAAGAACACUCUCUCUCUCUCUCUCUCUCUCUCUCUCUCUGUUUUCACAGAUUAAUACUACUUUAUUGUCUGCAAUCUUUUCUCUAUAGCCAAUAGCAGUCACGAACACUCCUCAUAGUACAAGGAUCAGCAGCUCAGACUCAAAAGCAAUUUUCUGCAGUGUAAAUGAAUUGUUAAUCAGUCUUGUUUAGUGUUCCAUUUAUGUAAUCCAAGCAGAUUGAUCUGCCUUUAAUUGUUAGUUUCCUAAUGAUUCCCUGGGGGAUAUAGUGCUGAUAGCAACUUAAUGUUCAGUACAAUUAUGGAAGACACGUCAUGAUGGGAAUCACUUUGCUUCCAAGUAGCCACUCCUGUAUAUUUAAAACUUACUCAUACUGCUGAAAAAGACUCCAGAAACACGUGCUAGGAAGAAACAGGCAAAACUGAUGCCACACAUGAGGGUUAAUUUUGUGGGCACACAAUUGCCUUCAAGACGAAAGCCACCCAUUGUUUUCCAGAAUAUUACAACACUCAGAUCGGAGCUUUGCUUAUCUCAAAUCUCCCGGAAGACGGGCCUCGUCUCCUACAAAUUGAUGGGUUCGGAGAGGAAAGGGACAGCUGAGUACGAAACAGCACACUAAAUAAAGACUUUCCCCUGGCCACAAGCAAACACAAAUUAUAUCAUAAAGCCAGUCUCAUUUAACUAAGAGAGAGAGAGAGAGAGAGAGAGAGAGAGAGAGAGAGAGAGAGAGAGAGAGAGAGAGAGAGAGAGAGUCAC